GCGGCAGUAAUUCAGUGGUAGAAUGCCAGCUUCCCAAGCUGGACGUCGCGGGUUCAAGUCCCGUCUGCCGCU
Non-coding RNA from Ignavibacteria bacterium GWC2_36_12, 72 nucleotides. The record is from Rfam. Lineage: Bacteria; Pseudomonadati; Ignavibacteriota; Ignavibacteria.